CCCCUGCUUUCCAAUGCAACCUUAAAGCUUUCAGGCUCGCUUUGGUCCCAUAAACCGUCUCCCUCCUCUCUCUGUCUCAUUGCCUUCGCCGUUCCACUCCACAUUUGUUCGUCCAUUUCUUCCCAACUUCAUUCUCUGCUCCCCCUCAAAAUCCCAACUUCUUCUUCUUCUUCUUCUUCUUCUUCUUCUUCUUCUUCUUCUUCUUCUGCAUUGGUCCUGUUUAGGAAGAUUUAAUCCGGUUCAACUCGCUUCUUGUGUUGUUGUUGUUGUUGGUUUAGUCGAGGAUUUUUGUGUUUCGUAGUGAAAGUUGGGAUUUUGGACAUGGAAGGAGGAAGACGGGGGAUGGACAGCUUGGUGACGGCCAGGCGCACGCUGGUGGUGAGCCUGGAGAAGUCGCGGACGCUGGGCACCGCCCUCGCGCGCGCCGGCCCCCGCCUCGACGAGAUCCGGCAGCGCCUCCCCUCGCUGGAGGCCGCUGUCCGCCCGAUCCGCGCCGACCGCGGGAAGCUCGCCGCAGCGGGCGGGCAUAUCGACCGCGCCGUUGGCCCUGCUGCCGCCGUGCUCAAGGUGUUCGACGCGGUCCACGGCCUCGAGCGGUCCCUCCUCGCCGACCUCCGCGCCGAUCUCUUCGGCUACCUGUCGGUCCUCAAGCGCCUCGAGGAGGCCCUCCGGUUUCUCUCUGAGAACUGUGGCCUCGCGGUGCAGUGGCUCGACGACAUUGUGGAGUACCUCGACGACCACUCCCUCGCCGACCCCCGCUUCAUCGAGGCCCUCAAGGCCUCCCUCGACUCCGUCAAGCCCUCACCUUCGGCUCUCGACGGCGGUCUCCUCGUUGCCGCCCUCGACAAGCUCGAAUCUCAGUUCCGGCGCCUCCUGGCCGAUCACACCGUCCCUCUUCAAAUGCCAUCCGACAUCGUCGGCGUCCCCGCCAUCGCCCCUUCCCCCAUUCCUGUCUCUGUCAUCAACAAGCUCCGCGCCAUCCUCGAGCGUACCACUGCAAACGACCGGCUUGAUCGCUGCAUCUCCAUCUAUGUCGACGUGCGAGGGUCCAAUGUCCGCGCCAGCCUCCGCGCGCUCGACCUCGAGUACCUCGAGAUCACGCCCGCCGAGUUCAACGGCGUGCAGAGCAUCGAAGGGUACAUCCAGAAGUGGUGCCGCCACCUCGAGUUUGCCAUCAAGCACCUCUUCGAGGCCGAGUUCAAGGUGUGCAUCGAGGUGUUCGAGCGUGCUGGACCGCGAGAUGUAGCCCUGUCAUGCUUCGCGGAGAUUGCUGCACACGCUGGGAUGCUCGCGUUCCUCCGGUUUGGGAAGACGGUCACCGAGACAAGGAAAGAUCCCAUCAAACUACUCAAGCUUCUUGAUAUCUUUGCGACAUUGAACAGAUUAAGGUUGGACUUCAACCGGAUUUUUGGAGGAAAGGCUUGUGCUGAGAUCCAGAAUCAAACAAGGGAUCUUAUCAAGAGAGUGAUUGAUGGGGCUUGUGAGAUCUUUUGGGAGCUCUUGCAUCAAGUGGAGCUGCAAAGACAGAUGCCACCACCUUCCGAUGGAGCUGUGCCAAAGCUGGUGUCCUUCGUCACUGAUUACUGCAACAAGCUUCUCAGCGAGGAGCAUCUGCCGGUGCUCACUCAGGUUCUGAUCAUAAAUCGGAGCUGGAAGCAGGAGAAGUUCCAAGAGAGACUCCUAACUGAUGCAAUUUUGGACAUAUUUAAAGCCCUCGAGGCAAAUUUUGAGACUUGGUCCAAGAGCUAUGAGGACAUUCCUCUUUCCUAUCUAUUCGCGAUGAACACACAUUGGCAUUUCUACAAGAAUCUGAAGGGGACCAAGCUGGGGGAGCUAUUAGGUGAGGCAAAGUUGAAGGAGCAUGAGCAGUACAAGGAUUACUAUGCUACAUAUUUCCUGAGGGAAAGCUGGGGAAAGCUUCCAUCUCUACUGAGUAGGGAAGGGUUGAUAUUGUUCUCAGGGGGUAGAAGCAAGGCACGGGAUCUGGUGAAGCAGCGAUUGAAAGCUUUCAAUAAGUCCUUCGAUGAGAUGUAUCAGAAGCAGUCAACUUGGGUUAUAUCAGAUAAGGAAUUGAGGGAGAAACUAUGUCAUUCGAUAGUGCAGACGAUUGUUCCUAGUUACCGGAGCUAUAUGCAGAACUAUGGGCCUCUGGUGGAGCAAGACGCAAGCGCAAGCAAAUAUGCAAAGUACACAGCCCAAAGCUUGGAGAACAUGCUUGGUUCUCUUUUCCUGCAUAAGCCUGGGAGAACAAUGAGUCUCAACAUUAGGCACUCAAAUGGAAAAUUGAAUAGUGUAAUGACUAGCGUGUCUCGCUCUGCCUCAACUGUGAGCUGAUGAAGUCAUUUCUGUUUUUUAGGAUGGAAGGGAAAGUAACCGUGGUUUCUCAUUUUCUCAUGUGUAUAGCAGUUAAAAGCAUGAGGACUGGGUCUGCAGCAAUUGGUGUUGGUUCAAUGAGCAUAUCAUGGUCAUAUGCUUGGAGCGGUGGUAUGGGUUGGCGGCUAGAUAUAUCAGUUUGUACAAAGGUUUUCACGGAUGAUCGGUUAGGGAGCAUUAACUGUGGAACCUAGCUAUCAAGCAUGCUACAGACAAACUAAUUUGCACGUCUUGAGAAACAAAGACGAUGGAGGGGGACACUAGGAUUGGUGUCUUGACACUCAUCUAGCAGAAGCUACUUCACUAUACUGCUUUAGAGACCAAAUGAAUGUGACAUGAAGAUGAAGAAGAAUCACUACUUGGAUCCAUGCUCCCUCUUCCAUGCAUCACCCCAUUGAAGGCCAUGGCCACUCUCACACACCAUCUUUUUCUUCAGUGAACUCAGAGAUGUCUCUCUUGCUACCAUAUGGUUCCAAUUUGUGCACCACAAGCAAUAGGUUGCAGCAUAUUUAUCCCCUCGAGCAUUGUCAAGAUGAAUGCAUCAAGUAACCUUCUUGUCUACAUCUUACUUGUAUCAGACUUGUCUACAUCUUCCAUCACAGUGGAUGCAUCAAAGGUGAUUGGGGCUUAUAAAGCAGCAGUAAAAGCCUUUACUUUUUCUAAAACAGUCUUUUACUUUUCAA
Musa acuminata subsp. malaccensis (wild Malaysian banana) is the source of this 3056-nucleotide non-coding RNA. The record is from RefSeq and is a predicted model, not a curated record. Lineage: Eukaryota; Viridiplantae; Streptophyta; Magnoliopsida; Zingiberales; Musaceae.